UUUAUGAAUUUUCCGGUAAUAAUCUUGUUUCCCCAGAAUGUUUCCAGCAAGAAAGCACAAACAGGGAAAUCAUGGUCAUUUUAAUAUAUAUGUAAAUAGGAGGACAGUGGUGUGAUGCAGAGGAUAUUAACAUUGAGCAGUACUCCACCAUUUGCUAUUGGUAUUCAGCAGGCUGAGAGUGCAGGGAGUGCCUGCUGAAGUUCACGAUUCCUGAAGUGCAAGAAAUGUAUUUUAAUUCCACUCUGCAGAGAACAGGGAUGUGCAGCUUUUACUGCUCUGCAGCAUCCAUGGUGCAGGCUCUACCCUGAUGAGGGCAAUGGGUUUCAGCUAAAUAAGCCCAAGUAAGCAGCAUCACCCUGAGAGUGUGCAGUUGCUUCUGCCUGGCCCAGGAAAUGCUCCUGCCUGGUUGGGGAAGGGUUUUUUUUUGCCUGGUAAGGAUUUAUGUCGCAGCCAAAGCACUUAUCAACUGCUCACCAUGAGAACUUGGGAUAUGGAGACUUCAAAAAGAGUGAUUGGUCUGAAAGGGAGCCCAAGGCAGGGAUGCUGCCAAGGUGAGUUGUGUGUACCUCAUGCAUUUAACAGAAGUGUAAAAUAUUGAUUUUCUGUGGCCUGGAUGAUUUCACAAAAAAAUUUGGCAGUAUAUUUUGUUCCCUAAGCUGUUUAAGGAGAUACUGCAUAUCCAUGUAAGAAAACCUCAUAGCUCAGCCUCUCCUUGUCCUUCACUGCAGAAGCACACCUGAGCUGUAUCCACCUCCUCUCACAAGCAUUGUA
Molecule: long non-coding RNA, 771 nt
Organism: Passer domesticus (house sparrow)
Lineage: Eukaryota; Metazoa; Chordata; Aves; Passeriformes; Passeridae
Exons: 3
Source: RefSeq, a predicted model, not a curated record